This 642-nucleotide long non-coding RNA is filed under the name Homo sapiens (human). RNAcentral's name for it is "HSALNT0327829". The record is from RNAcentral. Lineage: Eukaryota; Metazoa; Chordata; Mammalia; Primates; Hominidae.
CCACCCAGUUAUAGAAUUCAGAUUACCAUACCAGACACAUCAUCCCAGGGAAUCUAAAGUGUCAUUUCCUCUCUGGAAGAAAGGAAGCACAAAACAUGCUAGGACAAAAUUGGAGAAACUGAUUAUUUUACCCAGGCUUUGACUGGAAUGGCAUGAUUCCUUUAAAAAAUUCAAGCUUGACUUAUACAGCCAAUUAAGCCCUGUUGGGGAAUCUGGUCUCAUACCUUGUCCACACAGAGUCCUUGUACAAGUUUCCCGACCUGUGAAAGAAGAAAGAGCUUUAACAGACAUUUGAUAAUGAAUUGUUACUUCUUACUCAUGUUUAUAUAUAAACUCUUGACUGUCAAUGCUAUAAAAGACAAUUCAAAAGGAAGAAAUGCAGUUAUAUUGAAACACCAUUCAAAACAUCACAACAAGAAAUGCAGUCUACUAUAAACUGAGUAAAUAGAAAGAUAUACAGUAGUACUGAGGCUACUACCAGGAGAAGGCAAUAUUGGUACUGAACAAAAAAGAGUUUCUUCACACUGAAGUACAGCACAGUUGAGAAGCAUGAAAUAAAGACGUUUUCUAGACUCCAAUUCUAUCAUUUCCAUGAGGUGGGUACUAUCCAGAGUGACUACUAAUAUCACUACAUGAUACAUG